RNAcentral lists this long non-coding RNA (3010 nucleotides) under Sus scrofa (pig). Its description in RNAcentral is "lncRNA (ENSSSCG00050074289.1)". Lineage: Eukaryota; Metazoa; Chordata; Mammalia; Artiodactyla; Suidae. The record is from RNAcentral.
GAGGGUGAAUUUAAGGAGGCAGAGUAUCCCAAGAAGAUUAAGGUGCUGUAUGGUUUUGGGAUCUUGCCUUGCAAAUGAGUUCCAUUUGACCAGAGGCAACAUAUUAUUUCUUUCACGAUAUUAUUAUUAUUUUUUAUUGUCUCCCUUUCUCUGGACCCCCUCCCCCACCCCAUCUCAUGCGGCAUAGUCCUUCACAGUCCUCUGACUAAGAUGAGGUAGGUUAAAUGCAUGCCUGGUUGAAAACUUUAAGAGUUCCCUGGUGGCUCAGCAGGUUAAGGAUCCGUUGUCACUGCUGUGGUUUGGGUUCACUCCCUGGCUUGGGAACUUCUGCAUCCCUCGGGCACAGCCUAAAACAAAAACAAUAACAACCCCCCCCUCAAAAAAAAAACCCACUUGGAUCUACUCCUUGAUGUCAAAUAAAUGAACAGUUUAGGGACUAAGAAACUCAGUACUAGUUUACAUAUUAAGUGGGUAGGUCUUAGCAGCACUAUUCAUAGUAACCCUAAACUGGGAACUAUCCAAAUGCCCUUACACAGGAGAAUAGAUCAAUUGCAGUAUAUGUGCCUAAUGGAAUUGUACGUAUCACUAAGAAUGAAUGAUCUACCACUUCUUGCUACCACAUGGAUGAAUAUCACAUGUAUAAUGUUGAACCAAAGGAGUUCCCCCAAGAGAGAAUGUACCCCAUGUGAGCCUCUUUAUAAACACGAGCACAAAAACAUGCAAAACCCAAUUUUUUUAGAAGCAAAAGCUUAUCUUCUUUGUUAGUAGUGGCCAAAAGGGAGCACAAGAGGGCCUUCCUAGGUGUAUGUAAUAUUUUUCUUUUGUGGGGGUUUUGGGGGGCUGCACCUGCCGCACAUGGAGGUUCCCAGGCUAGAGGUAGACCUGGGGCUGCAGCUGCCGGCCUGCACCACAGCCACAGAAGCACUGGAUCUGAGCCGUAUCUGUGACCUAUUCCACAGCUCGCAGCAACCCCAGAUCCUUAACCCACUGAACAAGGCCAGGGAUCAGAUCUGCCUCCUCAUGGAUACCAGUCGGGUUCGAAACCUGCCAAGCCACAACGGAACACCAGUAAUAUCUUACUUUUGGAUUUGCUCUUUUCCUGUAUCUCUAUUUCAAUUUUAAAAAUCCAAAAAUGUUUCAAUAGAUUUUCAAAAUAAUAACUUUCACAAAGAGAUUUAGCAAAUAAUCACCUCUAUAUAUCUGGGACCCCAGAUGGACUGGUUUUAGUACAAACACAGUUCAACAAAGAAAAAGAGCCUAAUGAGCAAAAGGAAAUGCAUUUUUGUCUCGCCUCUCCUUUCCCUUCUCAUACUGCUCUGUUCUGGAGCCUCCUAUUUGCUCAAGUGUAAUCUCUUUUUUCCUUCCAGCUCAUCGUUGAGUUCCAGGCCUUCAUGGUGAUUCCCUGGACUCUGGUGCUUUUCCAGUCUUGUCUAUUCCAAUUCAUUCUUCUUCCUCCUAUUCGAUAUUCUUAAACCUGACACUAUGCUUCUUCUGUAUUAAAAUGGGGUACAAUAAGCUCUACUAAGACAUAAUAAGAAGCCUUUGGAAGAGAGCCUUCUGAAGGUCAAGGGGAAAAGUUGAGCAGUAAUGACUUUCUAAAGGUCUCAUCUUAUCAAGGGAGGCAACAACAGGGGAUUACAAGCCCUUGCUGCGUAGAAGUAGCUCGCUUCUUGUUCGCUAUAAAUCAGAGGGGAAAAGUGAGUUUGCUUCUGACCUUUGGGCGAAGGAAGAUAACCAUCAGUGAAGGAGGAUAACCACUAGCAGAGUGAGCAUUUGCAAACUAACAAGGGGAAGGAAAAGCAGAGGCUUAGUGUGAGGAAGCCAGUACAAAGAAAAAGAUGAAACACAACGUUACAUCCGCAAGAUGAGAUGACAUAGAUUAAGUAAAUUCUUGCCUGGGCAAGAGCAGUCAUCUUCUAAUUGCUCUCUCUGCCAUGGUCUGCUUUUCGCAUACUCCCCCUUCACAGCAGAGCAAUGGUGAUCUCUUCAAAACAGAAGUCUGAUCACCACACCCUUUCUCCGGGUGCCCCAGCCCUGUCCCCUGAGUCAUCCACUGGAGAAGCCUAAGCUUAUCUCACUGAAGUCUACCUACCUUGCAGGCUUACCUGUAGCUACUCCUUCUCCAGCUUGAAACCUCUUGCUUUUCUGCCCAGUGUAUCCUUUCUUCUGGGGAUUGCUAACCUCCCCCCACCCCACAUGACUGCUUUACAAGCUUGGUGUUCCUGCCUUCAACCGCUGGCCACAGUUGCUUGGUUCUGGGAAGGGCACUGCUCCUGAGAUGGGACCGUUUCAGUUCCUUCUCUGAGCCAUCCUUCCCCUGCUGUGGUCCAGAAGUGAACACCCGGCCGAAGUGAGUAAAUGACAAUUCUUCUCUAGGGCAUUUUGGAACUGGAGCAGAGAAGGAGAAGUAGAGCUUUUUCAGGAGUUCAAGGGGUCAUAUUUAAAUUUUAAGCACCAUGUCAGUGGUGUUUUCUGAUACCUGGAAGAGAGUUAUAGAGGUACCAUUAGGAAAAUGAGAGAGUAGGAGGGAGAGAGAGAAACAUGAGAGGGACAGAGCGAUAUCAGGAGAAAGCAGAGCUGAAGCCCAGAGGUGCUGACAGCGUUCAAGUCUUGGUUAUAUCCAUAUGCCCAUUUCUAAAGGUCUGCAGCCUCCUUGCAAUCUACAAGACUCCCUNAUGGACUAUUACUCAGCCAUAAAAAAGAAUGAAAUAAUGCCACUGGAAGCAACAUGGAUGGACCUAGAGAUUAUCACACUCAGUGAAGUCAGCGAAAGACAAAUAGCAUGUGAUCUCACCUAUAUGUGGAAUAUGAAAAAUGUUGCAAAUGAACUUAUUUACAAAAGAGAAACAGACUCACAGACAUAGAAAACAAUCUUGUGGUCACCAAAGGGGAAAGGGGGGAGGGGAAAACUGAGAAUUUUGGAUUAACAGAUACACACGACUAUAUAUAAGGUAGAUAAACAAUAAGGACCCACUGUAUAGCAUGGGGAACUAUACUCAAUAUCUUAUAA